RNAcentral lists this ribosomal RNA (273 nucleotides) under uncultured bacterium. Its description in RNAcentral is "partial 16S ribosomal RNA". It matches the Rfam family "Bacterial small subunit ribosomal RNA", at positions 335 to 600 of the family's 1533-position model. The record is from RNAcentral.
ACUCCUACGGGAGGCAGCAGUGGGGAAUAUUGCACAAUGGGCGCAAGCCUGAUGCAGCCAUGCCGCGUGUGUGAAGAAGGCCUUCGGGUUGUAAAGCACUUUCAGUCGUGAGGAGUAGUAGUAGUUACUAGCUGCUAUUAUUUGACGUUAGCGACAGAAGGAAGCACCGGCUAACUCCGUGCCAGCAGCCGCGGUAAUACGGAGGGUGCGAGCGUUAAUCGGAAUUACUGGGCGUAAAGCGCAUGCAGGUGGUUGUUAAGUCAGAUGUGAAAG